This 400-nucleotide ribosomal RNA is filed under the name phytoplankton environmental sample. RNAcentral's name for it is "partial small subunit ribosomal RNA". It matches the Rfam family "Eukaryotic small subunit ribosomal RNA", at positions 587 to 978 of the family's 1831-position model. The record is from RNAcentral.
AGCUCCAAUAGCGUAUAUUAAAGUUGCUGCAGUUAAAAAGCUCGUAGUUGGAUUUGUGGCGCGGCCGUCCGGCGGGGGUCCUUCUAUGGUCUCGUUUGUCCUGGUUUUCGGCCGCUCCUUUCUCGGGUAGAGCGUAAUGGCUGGCAUUAGGUUGUCGGCCGCUUCGCGCCCGUCGUUUACUGUGAAAAAAUUAGAGUGUUCAAAGCGAGCGAUUGCCAUGAAUACAUUAGCAUGGAAUAAUAGAAUAGGACCUGAUCCUGUUUUGUUGGUUUGUCGGUAUUAGGUAAUGAUUAAGAGGGACGGUCGGGGGCAUUUGUAUUCCAGGGUUAGAGGUGAAAUUCUUGGAUCCUUGGAAGACAAACAGCUGCGAAAGCGUCUGCCAAGGACGUUUUCAUUGAUC